RNAcentral lists this ribosomal RNA (846 nucleotides) under Halobyssothecium phragmitis. RNAcentral's name for it is "partial large subunit ribosomal RNA". It matches the Rfam family "Eukaryotic large subunit ribosomal RNA", at positions 78 to 938 of the family's 3401-position model. The record is from RNAcentral. Lineage: Eukaryota; Fungi; Ascomycota; Dothideomycetes; Pleosporales; Lentitheciaceae.
CCCUAGUAACGGCGAGUGAAGCGGCAACAGCUCAAAUUUGAAAUCUGGCCUCCUUUGGUGGUCCGAGUUGUAAUUUGCAGAGGGUGCUUUGGCGUCGGCAGCGGUCUAAGUUCCUUGGAACAGGACAUCACAGAGGGUGAGAAUCCCGUACGUGGUCGCCUGCCUUCGCCGUGUAAAGCCCCUUCGACGAGUCGAGUUGUUUGGGAAUGCAGCUCUAAAUGGGAGGUAAAUUUCUUCUAAAGCUAAAUACCGGCCAGAGACCGAUAGCGCACAAGUAGAGUGAUCGAAAGAUGAAAAGCACUUUGGAAAGAGAGUCAAACAGCACGUGAAAUUGUUGAAAGGGAAGCGCUUGCAGCCAGACUUGCCCGCAGUUGCUCAUCGGAUCUUUUGCUCCGAGCACUCUUCUGCGGGCAGGCCAGCAUCAGUUUGGGCGACCGGAUAAUGGCCUCUGUCAUGUAUCUUCCUUCGGGAUGACCUUAUAGGGGAGGCGUAAUGCGGCCAGCCCGGACUGAGGUCCGCGCAUCUGCUAGGAUGCUGGCGUAAUGGCUGUAAGCGGCCCGUCUUGAAACACGGACCAAGGAGUCUAACAUCUAUGCGAGUGUUUGGGUGUCAAGCCCGGGCGCGUAAUGAAAGUGAACGGAGGUGGGAACCCUCUCGGGGGUGCACCAUCGACCGAUCCUGAUGUCUUCGGAUGGAUUUGAGUAAGAGCAUAGCUGUUGGGACCCGAAAGAUGGUGAACUAUGCUUGAAUAGGGUGAAGCCAGAGGAAACUCUGGUGGAGGCUCGCAGCGGUUCUGACGUGCAAAUCGAUCGUCAAAUUUGGGCAUAGGGGCGAAAGACUAAUCGA